UGCCAUCUCAAUGCUCCUCAAGUUUCGUCGCACACUAGCAUGGAAAGUUAAGACUGCGUGCCAUGGCACCCAGUAUUGUCGACUUUGCAAGUACAAAGGGGGAAGAAUUAACCCAUUCAGAUGUGUUCAGUUUUCACCAACUGCAAGAACUGAGCCCGAGCCUGAGGACCAGCUUGACUAGAUGGAGAAACACCUAGAUUUGUAACCCCCACCUCCGGGUAUAUCUCCAUAGACAUCCAGGCAAGAAGGGCCCUCCCACGGAAAUCAACAAGUAUCUCAUUGCCUAAGAAGAAAUCUGAAAAGCAUUCAUAGGCUUCAAGAUAAUAUCUUUUGAAAUCUUCCUUGGCACUUCUUUCCAAAGUACCUUUUUUCUAAAAAUAGAAUUCUCAGAGUGACCAGAGCAAAUGAAGAUUGGGUGGGGGAAGAAAAUCUUUCUGCCAAGUUGUGAGAUGGAUGUGAAUUAAAGUCACUGAAAUGUGA
This is a long non-coding RNA of Peromyscus eremicus (cactus mouse), 480 nucleotides long. RefSeq lists it as uncharacterized. NCBI's taxonomy places the organism in Eukaryota, Metazoa, Chordata, Mammalia, Rodentia, Cricetidae. The transcript has 2 exons. The record is from RefSeq and is a predicted model, not a curated record.